This 253-nucleotide ribosomal RNA is filed under the name uncultured bacterium. RNAcentral's name for it is "partial 16S ribosomal RNA". It matches the Rfam family "Bacterial small subunit ribosomal RNA", at positions 524 to 776 of the family's 1533-position model. The record is from RNAcentral.
UACGGGGGGUGCAAGCGUUAAUCGGAAUUACUGGGCGUAAAGCGCACGCAGGCGGUUGAUUAAGUUAGAUGUGAAAUCCCCGGGCUUAACCUGGGAAUGGCAUCUAAAACUGGUCAGCUAGAGUCUUGUAGAGGGGGGUAGAAUUCCAGGUGUAGCGGUGAAAUGCGUAGAGAUCUGGAGGAAUACCGGUGGCGAAGGCGACUUGCUGGACUUCAACUGACGCUGAGGAGCGAAAGCGUGGGUAGCAAACAGG